UCGGGAAUAUUGCGCAAUGGAGGAAACUCUGACGCAGUGACGCCGCGUGCAGGAAGAAGGUUUUCGGAUUGUAAACUGCUUUAGACAGGGAAGAAAGAAAUGACGGUACCUGUAGAAUAAGCUCCGGCUAACUACGUGCCAGCAGACGCGGUAAUACGUAGGGAGCAAGCGUUAUCCGGAUUUAUUGGGUGUAAAGGGUGCGUAGACGGGUAUACAAGUUAGUAGUGAAAUCCCUCGGCUUAACUGAGGAACUGCUACUAAAACUAUAGAUCUUGAGUACUGGAGGGGAAAGCGGAAUUCCUAGUGUAGCGGUGAAAUGCGUAGAUAUUAGGAAGAACACCGGUGGCGAAGGCGGCUUUCUGGACAGAAACUGACGUUGAGGCACGAAAGUGUGGGGAGCAAACAGG
Molecule: ribosomal RNA, 407 nt
Filed under: uncultured bacterium
Lineage: Bacteria
Description: bacterial SSU rRNA
Rfam family: Bacterial small subunit ribosomal RNA
Source: RNAcentral